CACGUAGGCACCAAGCGUUGUCCGGAUUUAUUGGGCGUAAAGAGCUCGUAGGCGGUUCGGUAAGUCGGGUGUGAAAACUUUGGGCUCAACCCAAAGCGUGCACUCGAUACUGCCAUGACUAGAGUUCGGUAGGGGAGUGGGGAAUUCCUAGUGUAGCGGUGAAAUGCGCAGAUAUCAGGAGGAACACCAAUAGCGAAGGCAGCUCGCUGGGACGUUACUGACACUGAGGCGCGAAAGCGUGGGGAGCGAACAGG
RNAcentral lists this ribosomal RNA (254 nucleotides) under uncultured bacterium. RNAcentral describes it as "partial 16S ribosomal RNA". It matches the Rfam family "Bacterial small subunit ribosomal RNA", at positions 524 to 776 of the family's 1533-position model. The record is from RNAcentral.